RNAcentral lists this ribosomal RNA (527 nucleotides) under uncultured bacterium. Its description in RNAcentral is "bacterial SSU rRNA". It matches the Rfam family "Bacterial small subunit ribosomal RNA", at positions 777 to 1301 of the family's 1533-position model. The record is from RNAcentral.
AAUAGAUACCCAGGUAGUCCACGCCGUAAACGAUGAGUGCUAGGUGUUAGAGGGUUUCCGCCCUUUAGUGCUGCAGCUAACGCAUUAAGCACUCUGCCUGGGGAGUACGGCCGCAAGGCUGAAACUCAAAGGAAUUGACGGGGGCCCGCACAAGCGGUGGAGCAUGUGGUUUAAUUCGAAGCAACGCGAAGAACCUUACCAGGUCUUGACAUCCUCUGACCAUCCUGGAGACAGGACCUUCCCCUUCGGGGGACAGAGUGACAGGUGGUGCAUGGUUGUCGUCAGCUCGUGUCGUGAGAUGUUGGGUUAAGUCCCGCAACGAGCGCAACCCUUGAGAUUAGUUGCCAGCAUUCAGUUGGGCACUCUAAUCUGACUGCCGGUGACAAACCGGAGGAAGGUGGGGAUGACGUCAAAUCAUCAUGCCCCUUAUGACCUGGGCUACACACGUGCUACAAUGGAUGGUACAAUGGGCUGCGAAACCGCGAGGUGGAGCGAAUCCCACAAAAACCAUUCUCAGUUCGGAUUCG